AUUGAACGCUGGCGGCAUGCUUUACACAUGCAAGUCGAACGGCAGCGCGGGCUUCGGCCUGGCGGCGAGUGGCGAACGGGUGAGUAAUGCAUCGGAACGUGCCCAGUAGUGGGGGAUAGCCCGGCGAAAGCCGGAUUAAUACCGCAUACGACCUGAGGGUGAAAGCGGGGGACCGAAAGGCCUCGCGCUAUUGGAGCGGCCGAUGUCGGAUUAGCUAGUUGGUGGGGUAAAGGCUUACCAAGGCGACGAUCCGUAGCUGGUCUGAGAGGACGACCAGCCACACUGGGACUGAGACACGGCCCAGUCCCCUACGGGAGGCAGCAGUGGGGAAUUUUGGACAAUGGGGGCAACCCUGAUCCAGCCAUGCCGCGUGCGGGAAGAAGGCCUUCGGGUUGUAAACCGCUUUUGUGCGGGAAGAAAUCCUCUGGGCUAAUACCCCGGGGGGAUGACGGUACCGGAAGAAUAAGCACCGGCUAACUACGU
This 483-nucleotide ribosomal RNA is filed under the name uncultured bacterium. RNAcentral describes it as "partial 16S ribosomal RNA". It matches the Rfam family "Bacterial small subunit ribosomal RNA", at positions 28 to 506 of the family's 1533-position model. The record is from RNAcentral.